RNAcentral lists this long non-coding RNA (9763 nucleotides) under Homo sapiens (human). RNAcentral's name for it is "non-protein coding lnc-LAMB3-2:7". Lineage: Eukaryota; Metazoa; Chordata; Mammalia; Primates; Hominidae. The record is from RNAcentral.
CUUUUCCUGUGCCACAGCAACCAAGAAGGUCACAUGUUCCAGAAGCUGCAGCUAUAAGGUGGGUGGGGGGACCUAAGUGGGCCUGGGCUCUUGAGUGACUAUGUGGAGCAGAGCUGCACUGACUCUUUCUUAUCCAUGGGUAGCACAAGCGAAAAAUAAACUUCUGUGGUGCAAAGUCACUGAGAUUCAGGAGUUGUUGCCAAAGCGGAGCCGAGCUCAGUGGUUCCCAGUCUGGUCCCAGGCACCACGUAAGAUGUUCCUUUGCUCUUCCUUCAUCUUCCACCAUGAUUGUGAGGCCUCCCCAGCCAUGCUGAACUGUGGGUAACCACCACAGGCCCACAGGCUAAAAUUGAGCUGGAGUAAGUGGCAACAGAGAGUAUUUAUUGUCCCCUAAGAGCCCUGGCCCUUGUAGGACAUGUGAAUGCCAGUGCUCAUGGAGAAAGGUGGAGGAAGAGAGCCAGAGUGCAGUUCACCUCUGGGAGAGCAGACCAGAGUGGCUUCCGUGGGCACAUGCUGGAUUGAAGUGAGAAGACGUGACUACUAAAGUUGAGGCCCCAAGUCUCAGCUUCUUCCCCCUCCAAAGCAUGAGUGGAGGAUUCACUUAAGGCCACUUUGGCUGCCACCAGUGCACCAUUGGCAGAAACAUUGGCAGAGUCCAGCUGGCAAGAGGGCCUCGUCAUCCCUGCAAGACAUAGCAGAGCAAGGGAAAGUUUUGGCUGAUACUAAAGUGGCUAGCACCUCUUUGGAGAUCUUUGGAAAACUCCAGUGAGUUGGAAAAGACCAGGACAUGGAAUCUGUAGAAUAACGCUGGAUGACAUCUGGUUGGAUGAAAAAUGGGGACAGUCUGACCCUAAGCAGCUUGCCAGAAGCUAGGAACAGCUGCUUCUCAAGGGGGAAGUGUCAUCAUCGCAUCUCCUGAGUGGCCCAUUUUCUGCUCUAUAGGAGGUAAAUAAACAUAACACCACCUGAAAAUUGGCCUUUUGAAAAAAAGACUUUUUUUUGAAAAACCAUCACGGAGGUUCUAACGUUGAAAACUGGAAGCCCCUGGAGCCAGAGUCAUGGGAGGAAGUAGGAAUGUGAGGGCCAACGGACUAACUGGUCUCUCUUACUGGGGCCAUCUAUUAACCCCAAAGAGGAUGUCUACUUCAGUUUCUACAGUAACAGCUUUAGGGCUGCCCAGUGGGCAUCUAGUGGGAGAGAAGGUGCAUAUUUGGGGGAAAUUCUUUAAACACCAAGUUGUUGUGUGUCUCCCACAUGGUGUGUGCAGGGGUCUGUGUAUCUGUGCUUCACUAGCAUCCUUCUCUUUCUCUUCCUUUCUCAUCUUUUCACUCUGUCUUUCCACUUCUGUCUCCUCUGGUCUCUGUCUCACUCUCUACUUUGUCUGUCUUCUGUCUCAUAGUCUCCCUCUUCACCUAGUUUUCUUUCUCAGGUUUUCAUUCUUCCUCCUCAGCUUGGCUCUCAUUUUCUUAUUGUGCUGGGUUGAAUAGUGUUCCCCCAAAAUUUGUGUCCUACCUGGAGCCUCAGAAUGUGGUUCUAUUUGGAAAUUGGGUCAUUGCAAAUGACCUAUUUAAUUGGUUAUUUAAUUAUUCAAUUGGUUAUUUAAUUAAUGGCCAUCUCAGUUAAGAUGAGGUCAUUCUGGUACAGGUGCACCAUGAAUCCAAUAUGAUGGUAUCCUCAUAAGGAGAGGAGAAGAGACACAAAAACAGACACACCCUGGCAGAUCACUGUGUGACUACGGAAACAAGAGACUGAAGCAAUGUGUCUACAAGCCAAGGAACACCAUGAAUUGCUGGCAAUAACCCAAAACUACAAAGAGUCAAGGAAGGAAUCUUCCCUAGCACCUUCAGAGAGAACAUGACCCUGCUGACAUCUUGAUUUUGGAUCUCUAGCUCCCAGAACAGUGUCAGCUGGCUCAUUUUCUUUGAGGCAAAGUUCAUAUCCACUGGAUUCACACCUCAGUUGCCACAUGGGCUGCUUCUCUGCUCAGAAAUGCCAGGAGUUUUUAAAUAGUUCAUAAAAGGGACCCCCUUUUGACCUGACCCUCCCAGGUAAGUAUGCUGUCUUUGAGGACCACAGAAAGGUUCAAGAAUCUGGGUUUUCAGUCUCCACAUAGCUCUGGGCAAGUCUCUUAACCUCCCUGAAUUCUUUCAAUGGCUUCAUCAAUUAAAAAAAAGGCAACUGCUUUAGUCUUUCCUGCCUCUGGAGAAUGUUGUUAGUGUGAAAAGACCUUCAAAAGUACAACAAAGAAUGCUGUGCACAUUUAUAGUCCUUUAUUAUUCAGACUUAGGAGGCUGGGAUGAAAUAAAUAUUUAUGGAACCCAGAAGGUGACAUGGAAUUUUAUGGAUAUUAUGACGUUGGAUCCUUAAAGCAACCUACCAAAUAAGUGAUUCCCAUUUUAAGUGAGGAGAAAAUUGACUUGAAGCAAAGAAACAUCACUUUCAUAAGAAACAGUGAAGAUUCUAAUUAAACCCAGAUUUCCUGACGUCCAAUUUAGAGAUUACUACAUUACACUGUGACCCUCUCAUUUGUUGAUUUAUUAUUUUUUAUGGCACACUUCCUUCCCAUCUUGAAAUAUUUCUCUGACCCUUCAGAAGAAGCCACAGACUCAAUAGAGUCUGGUCCCCUGUGUAAGGAGAGGUUUAAUUUUCAAGUACAAAUAUUAACAACAGGCCCAUAGAGGAAACAUUUUGGAGGAACAAUCGAUGUUGGCAGACAGGAGCCUAUCAGGAGGUAAAGGAUUUGUAAAAGUGAAGUUUAAGGCAAACCUUUGAAGGGGAGAUGAGAAAUGCUGCCUUCAGAAAGGAGGAAGGGUCAAAUUCAAGGUCCACAGUGGGCUAGAGAGUGUGUGAAUCUCCGCCUGAGCUCUGCAGCGGGGAGAGUUUGAAGAUGUAGAAUUCUGUCUGCAUAGCAUGCAUUAUGUCUUUAUGUGAUAUGUAUGCGUCAGAGAAGAGAAUUUCUUUUCUGUCACAGGCAUCGUCUAAAAAUGCACACACUUGAGAAAUCACCACUCUCUCUCCUUUCUCAUUUCUCCACUUUCUGCACAUCUUCCUACUUGCUGAGCCUUUCCUCUCAUUCCAGAGGGACAGAAGCACCAGCACCUUCUUUAGGAGCUGUUUAUCUGGCAUCCGCCUCUCUGCUGAGAGAGCAGACCCCUCUUCUUCCCUUCUUUAAGCCCCAAUUGUAUCUUCCAUCCUCCCACUCUGAGUGUGAUUAGAGUGAAGAAAAUCUCAUAAAAAGGAAACUCAAAUGUCAGGUAAUUACAGCCCAUAAUUUGUUUAUCUUUCAGAAGCCCAUAUUGGAGGAGCAUUACUCACUCUGAGGAUCCUGGCAUAGGCAGAUGCAUCACUUGUAUUGAAGUAUAUUAUCUGCUGUGAUAUUUAUGAUGAAAUGAGUUUGCCAGCCAUCGUCUAUCAGGUGAUUUGCUCUUGAACAAUUAACAGAGUGAAGGCUGUGUUCCAUCUCCUCACAGUCUCCCGCUGGGCAUCCUUGGGAGCACAGGAGGAGAAAGGCUUUCUUCUUGAUCCUAUUACUGCUGCCCAGCAUCAAGAAGGAUUAAUUAACCCACCAGGUUUUGCUUCAUUACGAGGAAAAAAGAAAAGCCAGUGACAGUGGAAUUCAAACAUUGAACAGGCAAAGGAAUCAGUGCUCAAGCACCUUAUGAACAUUUCGAAGACUUAGCUGGGCGGUGUGGCGCAAUGUAAAGUAGGGUGACUUGGUGCAAGUUACACACCCCUGCAGCCCUGUUUCUUCAUCCUCAGAGUUCACACUUCAAUUCUACAAAUUGAUGGCCUAUUCUGAGCUAAGCCCCGCCCACUCUGAACUAAGCCCCGCCUACUUUGAUUCCCUACUCUGAGCUAAGGAACAGUCUUUCAUCCCCAUGAAAGCUUUCUGUCUAGAAGGAACUAAAGAGCAUAAUUAUACUUAUUUUCCAGUGCUGUUGUUAGAAUUAAUUAAAUGUGGUAUAGCAUGUGAAAGUACUCUGUAACUAAACAUUGUAUAAAUGUUAAUUAUUCUCAUUUUCAUAUUUGAUAUUCAGGCAUUCAAACAAUUAUUGAGCACUUAUUAGGGCAAAGAACUAUACUUGCAGCUAACAGUUACGUGAAAGAAUUCGAAGACAUUGUUUUUGCUGUUUAGGAAGGUCCCACAUGGCAAAGCAAUUAAGACACACACAUGAAAUAAUUAAACAACAAAGUUGGGCCUAAAGAAGUUUCAUCUCACGUGCUAAUCAUGGCUGGCUGGCUAUGGCUAUCUAGAGUAUUAUGCUGAAAAUGAUUCUGAAGCUCUUUCUGGGCUCAAUUGAAAAGGAUGAUCUGGUGGAUUAGCAAUGAAUGCCAUGGGCAUAAGUUGGGCAUGUAGUGGUACGUGGACUAGUUGUUUAUAGUGCCUAAUACAAGGUAGCAAACAUAAUGAUAAAAGUAACUGUUAUUGAAAUUCAGCCAAGAUUGGUAUCAGUGUAGGCUUGUAUGACUGACAAAGAAUGUAGAGGAGCUAAAGAGUAAGCUUGACCUUGAAUUACGAGUAGGACUUCAGUGAAGAUAGGAGGCUAUUUCAGAAUGCAGGGCAUCUGGUAGGGAGUAGUGGAUGGUGGAGAGUAAGGAACUCAGUACUUGAUUCAAAGCCUGGGUCUCCCAGAAGUGAGCUGUGUGGCUUGGGCCACUUUAUCUCCUGAGGUCUCAGAGUUUUCAUGUAUAAAAUUGUAGAACUUGUCUUGAUGGUUUUGAACAUUCUUUCUAAUUCUGCACAACAGUCCAUUUGUGGGUUAGAUGAGCCUUUACCAAACUGUAUUUCAUGGAACAAUGGUCCCAAGAGCUGUUCUGUGAAAAGUAAGUUUCAUCAUCAAAUAAUUUUGAGAAAUUCUGAAUCCUAUAUACGUGUUGAUUCCUAUUUCUUUCCUUCCAUUCUUUCUUGAGUCCACUCUGAUUGGUCCUUAAAGUUGGAGUUUAUUUUUAUCAUUAUUGUUAUUGUCAUGGUAGUAAAGAUGGACAAAGGCAGAUUCCACAAACAUCUCAAAAUAAAAGUCAAUAGGACUUGGUGAUUAAUUGCAUAUAGGCAAUGCAGGAGAGGGUCUAAGCAAAGAUGUCAAGUAUUUCAAACUAGAAAAUGAAUAGAAUAAGCCAGGGAAUUAUUGAUGGACAAAAGAAGUUGAACCAGGUUGGUGGACAUGGAGCAGGGGUGCGGAGGGAGAAUACCAUCCUGCAGGCUAGGUACCUCAUGGGUACAGGAAGAGAUGCAUCUAGGUUACUCACAGCUAUGGAAGAUUAUUGCAAAGGUGUAAGAAAAGGUGAAGGAGAUCAUCUCAGCAGCAGCAGCAACAGCACAACGUUGGGGUCUAUAGAGACCACCUUAGUUUGCCUAAGACUAAGAAAUUUCUCAGGACACGAGCCUUUCAGUUCAAAAACUAGGUAAGUUCUGUACCAAAAAAGUUAGUUGUAUUAUUAGGGGAUCAAUUUUCCUUAUUCUAGAAUGGACAGCUGGAUUCAUAAUCAAAGGACAAUGUGUUGUUGCCAGCAAUUUCUGUUGAGCAUUUUAUGAACAGAGUUUAGAUUAGCCCCUUAACAGAUGGCUGGUGUCUCCUGUGCCUAGCACAUGUAGAAGCAUCUUUAGCCCGUCCAACCCUCUCUGGUCUUCCUGGCUAUGGCUGGGUAACAUUUGGAUCCACCUCUUAAUGGAGUAUGCCAUAUGCAGUGGGAAAAACAGAGAGGACUGCUUUCAUACCAUAUUCGUGUGAUAGAAUGAAUAAUUCUUUCAUGGGUUCCUCCCCGAGUCCAUCCAGUUCAGAGGAAAGAUGAUUAGGACUUUCCUCCAGCUGACUUUAAGGGAGGGUGGGAUGUUUAGGUAGAGGAGUAUUUACAAAAUCAGGGGAAAGAGUUGCAUUUGGGCUUAAAAAAUUCCUGAAUAUUCUUUUUUAAAAGAAAUGCCUGGUCAAAUACCGUAGGGAAUUACUGAGGAAGAACUUGAAAGAGGGAUGGAGAAGGAAGAGGAAAGAUAGAAAAGAAAAGAGACAGUAGGAGAGAAAAAGAGAGGAGAGAGAGAGAGAGAGAGAGAGAGAGGUUUGUCACAACCAGGUUUUCCCACCCCUACCUAGGGCAUUAGAACCUUCCACUAUUGCAGCUAAGAGAAUAGAGCAUGUGAACAGCUUGUACAUUUACUUAAACACCAAUGGUUUCAGCUUCUCAUACUGCACUCUACUCAAAGGUACAGUAGAUUCAGGGACCUGUCACUUAAGACAACUCUUUACCUUCCAACCAACCAAAGUGCAUUUUACAAUGUCAAUGCCAUUUCACAGAGAGGGGCAUUCAUCAGGGGUGUCUGAAGUCCAGGCCAGCCUGAGAAGGAGGUGCCAAGGCUUGGGAGUUGAGGGACCCAGGUCCUAGCUUUCUCUCCACUGGGCUCCAUUGUGUGAUCAUGGGCAACUGGCUAAACAUCUCUGGACUUUGUUCUUCCAACCUUUAAAAGGAAGCAAGGACCCACUCUUUUUGUUGAAAGAAGCUGGAGAGAGUAACUGCUGAGCCCAGGGAGAGGAGGGCAGAUGCAGGGCCAUUGUAGCCUGCUCUCACGAAUAUAAACACUCUAGAGUUUGGUCAACCCCAAAGGCCCUUUCUUCCUUAUUGGUUACUCAGGAUUUCCAAUCACCUGGGGCUCUCAAAAGUCAACAGGGGCCACUCAGCUAACCUCAGGGGUUUGAUAUAACCGGCAGGUGAAAGAGGCCAAAAAGACCUCCCCAGACUUCAGCGAGUUGUCAGCCCUUAAGCCCUUGAGCCUGCAGCAGGGGAUGAAAUAUCCUUUGGUUUUCAAAUCCCAUUGACCCAGGGCUUAUCCACGAAGGCAGGCUGGAACCUGGAGCAUAGGGCGAAGGCAGAUGUGGCAGGUUGGCUCUAGGCAGAAUCACUUGGUAGACCCGUCCUCGGCACCUGAUUCUACAUCUGGAAAAGUGAGUGAUAACUGUUGGAGUAAUAGUCCUCAGGAGUGCCUGUUAAAAGGGAUCAAAGCUUUGUGCUAAAGGGGAUCCUAGGAAGUAUAAGAGAAAUAGCUGAGAGCAGCCAAAAGGUACAGGAUGUGGAAUAGGGGCACGGAGGCAGCGCUGGUAACCAGCCCUGCACACACUCAUUAAGGCCCAACCAUGAGCUGUGACCAGAGAGUUGGGAUAUGCAUUUGGAAGUUGAAGUCCAAGUUUACAUCUUUCAUUGUGAGUCCUCAGUGGACCCAUCUACCUGUUGAUGGUGAACAGGUCCAAGACUGUAAUGAGGUGUAAGUACCAUUAGGUGGCGAUACAUGAAUGCCUUUCCCAUCUGGUUCCAAAAGAAGAGCACUAUGGGUUUGUCUCCCAGCUCAGGCUUAUAAGCAGCACAUCCAUGUUCCCUGCAUCUGUAGAUCAGCUUUAGCACCCACAGUGCCAGCUGCAAGUGGGGGUAGUGUGUGUGCGUUUUGAGCGCGUGCAUGCACAUAUGCCAAUUGUUGUGUAUUUUCACCUCAAUGUCGGUGACCAGCAAAUGAGGCAUCAGUGACACCCUGGCAGCAACUGACUACUUGGGCCACACUCUGAAAAUGGAUUGCCUCUGUUUUCUCUGCUUGAUCUUCACUGGGGGAAAAGAGUUAAAUUCGAUUUCCAGGAGCUCUCCAUGAGAGCCAACUUCAGCACAAGUUCCCAUUUCCAGAGAGGCUGCCGAGUCUCUCAUUUGUAAAGGCCUCCUCCCUUUGCCCUGAGCGGACUAGCCUUCCCCUACUUCUGCCUCUUUGCCUCUGUGUCACAGUUUUGUGGUCGAUGACACCCUCUCCUUAUCCUGCACCUCCUCCUGGUCUUGCCGACAUGGCUCAAUACUUUGUGCCUAAAUACAGGACUUGUACCAGUCUCCUAUGUCCCCGUGGAGGGCCCAGUGACAAAGGAAAAAAACCAGCCUUUCUCUGCUCAUCUGGGUGCAUAGGGCUCACCCUGAGGGAAGCUGGAAGUGGCAGCAAAUUUUUGUUUAUAAAUAAAAACAAAGACAACUUGUCGUUCCAAAGGAAAAUGCCCCCUGGUGAAAGAAACACUUAAAACCACUGAAGAAUUAGUUUCGUUUUGUCCUUGGUGGCCACCCUGUCAGCAGGUUUCCUUGAUCUUAUGUUGGUGACAGAGUCUCAAACUGAAUGCCAAGGGAAGGAUUCCACACAUAUUCCUUGGAUUUGUAGCUGAGGUACAGCCCUGGGCCUGGGGACAUGGAGAAGACCCAGCCUGCAAAACUCAAUCAUGGCUCUGCAGAUUUUACCCAGUUUGGAGAUCUACUAGCUACCACACUCGACACACACACACACACACACACACACACACACACACACUAUGAUGGAUGUCAUUCUUGUCUGCAACAUGCUCUAGUGACUGGGCCCAAGUCAGGCACAGCUUCUUGUGUGAACUGAAACACCAUUCUUUUCUUCCCUGUGUGAAAAAACAGAAUACAAGGGUGAGUGAUCUUAUGAAAACACUACUGAAUCUGUUCCAUUUUACAUAUUCACAAAAUUGAGGCCACUUAAUGUAAUAGAUAAAAGUAAUACAGAGACAACUACAAUAGGAAACAAAAGGUGAGAAAUGACAGAAGAAACAACACUCAGUGAAUACUGGGACUCAAGAGCAGGAGCAAUGGCAGCCACUUUGGAGUAGGAAGGUGAGCACUAGGAAGGGCCCCCCACCCCCUGCAAUAAGCUUUGAUGGACGGAUGGAAUUUUUUUCAAGGUAUUCUUUUUUAAAAAACAUCUUUAUUGAGAUAUACUUCAAAUACUAUAAAAUUCACUCAUUUAAAGCAUACAAUGCAGUGGUUUUUAGUAUAUUCACAGAGGUACACAACCAUUGUCACAAUCUAAGUUUAGAACAUUUUUGUCGCCUCUAACAGAAACAUGCAGUCAUGAGCAGUCAGCCCCAUUCACCCCUCACUCCCCAGCCCUAGGCAACCACUAGUCUACUUUCUGUCUCUAUAGAUGUGCCUAUUCUAGGUAUUUUAUAUUAAUGGAAUUAUAGUUUUUUGUGGCUGUCUUCUUCAACUUAGCAUAAUGUUUUCAAGGUUUGUCCAUGUUGUAAAAGGUGUCGGUACUUCAUUUCUUUUCAUGGCCGAAAAAUAUUCCAUUGUAUAGAUAUUCCCCAUGUUUGUUUAUUCAUUCAUCUAUUAAUGAACAUUUGGGUUGUUUCCACUUUUUGCCUAUUAUGAGAAAUGGUGCAGUUCUUUCAUCUGCAUGUUUUUAUGUGGACAUGUUUUCAUUUCUCUUGGGUGUAUACCUAGGAGUGGAAUUGCUAGGUCAUAUAUUAUCCCUAUGUCUAACUUUUUGAGGAAUUGCCAAACUGUUUUUCAAAGUGGCUGCACCUUACCGCAUUCCCACCAGCAAUAAAUAAGGGUUUCAAUUUAUCAGUGUCCUUGUUAUAGUCUGUCUUUUUGAUGAUAGACAUCCUGGAGGGUGUGAAGUGGUAUCUCGUUGUGGUUUUGAUUUGCAUUUCCCUGAUGACUAAUGAUGUUGAGCAUCUUUUCAUGUGCUUAUUAGCUAUUUGUAUUUUUUUUUUUUGGUGUUGGGGGACAUAUGUCUAUUCAAAUCCUGGGCCCAGGUCAGGCACAGAUGCUUUUUAAUUCGGUUGUCUUUUUAUUUUUGAGUGGAUGGCUGAGUUUUUGAGAGGUGUAGGAGUGUAGGAGCAAAAGCUUAGAUGUGGAAAAGGUAGGCACUUGUAAGGAGUAAGAAGUAAAACAGAUUGGCUUCAGAGUGUAGCAUUUUCAUGAGAGAUGUGACUCUGCAUUUAACAGAAAAGGC